GGGAAACUGAUUCCUAGCAUCUAGUAGGGGGGCAGCCAAUAAACCACCAUUACUUCUAAUAUUGUUGAGGAAUUUUUGGCUGUCUAAUAUAGAAGAAAGUUUCAGUUCUUGAUUAGCUAGUGAAGAAUGUAAUUCAAUUUCUACUUGCAGGAGAAAUGCCUCUCAGUUAUGUGAUCAUUCAGGAGCCAGUCAAAGGCUGCACUCGCAGGAGGUGUGCUAGAUACGUGUCUUGAAAAGAGUGGACACUGCUAUCAGAGGAUGGUGAAGGGAGUAAGUCAAAAUACGGCACAUCGAUUCAGACGGUUUUUUUUCCUUAUUGUUCUGUCGUACAGAGCAUUAACAUCUUUUUCAGCAGCGGCAUGAAGGGAACUCAUCACAGAUGUACAGCUUGGGUGCCAUUACCAUCCUUCAACACGACUAAAGAUUAGUGACAAUUCAUUCAGCUCCAGAAUGAAAUCCCACCAGUGGAAGCUCGAUCCGACAAUUAUUGAUAUAAUCACCCUUCUGGACCCCCUGGGGAAGUUGAAGCCCAUUGCCUGCAAGCCCAAGUCUGAGGCUGAGUCCAAGUCUGCUGGAAGCCUUUUUUUGCUGUUAAUGGAGUAGCACGUGCAUAAAUGGGAAGGAGGAAAGGGGCUUGUUUUUCCAUUGUUCUGUUACUUGUUGUGCUGGGUUCUGUGUUGUGGGUAAGCUGUGUCGGCACUGCAAUGUGUGGCGACACCUGAGGACUGUCCCCAGCACACCCUCAGGUGCAUUGGUUACUAACACAAGCAACUCAUAGAAAAAUAGAAAACCUACAGCACAAUACAGGCCCUUCGGCCCACAAAGUUGUGCUGAACAUUUCUCCACCCCAAAAAUUACUAGAGUUACCCAUAGCCCUCUAUUUUUCUAAGCUCCAUGUCCCUAUCCAAAAGUCUCUUAAAAGACGCUAUCGCAUCACCACUGUCGCCGGCAACCCAUUCCACAUACUCAGCUCUCUCUACAUAAAAAAACUUACCCCUGAUAUCUCCUCUGUACCUACUUCCAAGCACCUUAAAUCUGUGCCCUCUUGUGGCAGCCUUUUCAGCCUUGGGAAAAAGCCUCCGACUAUCCACACAAUCAAUGCCUCUCAUCAUCUUGUACACCUCUAUCAGGUCACAUCGCAUCCUCCGUCGCUCCAAGUAGAAAAGGCCAAGUUCACUCAACCUUUUUUCAUAAGGCAUGCUCCUCAAUCCAGGCAACAUCCUUGUAAAUCUCCUCUGCACCCUUUCUAUGGUUUCCACAUCCUUCCUGUAAUGAGGCAACCAAAACUUAGCACAGUACUUCAAGUGGGGUCUGACCAGGGUCCUAUAUAGCUGCAACAUUACCUUUCGGCUCCUAAAUUCAAUUCCACAAUUGAUGAAGGCCAAUACACCGUAUGCCUUCUUAACCACAGAGUCAACCUGUGCAGCUGCUUUGAGCGACCUAUGGACUUGGACCCCAAGAUCCCUCUGAUCCUCCACACUGCCAAGAGUCUUACCAUUAAUACUAUAUUCUGCCAUAUUUAUCCGGCCAAAAUGAACCACUUCACACUUAUCUGAGUUGAAGUCCAUCUGCCACUUCUCAGCCCAGUUUUGCAUCCUAUCAAUGUCCCGUUGUAAUCUCUGACAACCCUCCACACUAUCCACAACACCCUCAACCUAUGUGCCAUCAGCAAACUCACUAACUUAUCUCUCCACUUCCUCAUCCAGGUCAUUUAUAAAAAUCACGAAGAGUUAGGGUCCCAGAACAGAUCCCUGAGGUACUCCAAUGGUGACCAUCCUCCAUGCAGAAUAUGACCUGUCUACAACCACUCUUUGCCUUCUGUAGGCAAGCCACUUCUGGAUCCACAAAGCAAUGUCCUCAUGGAUCUCACGCCUCCUUACUUUCUCAAUAAACCUUGCAUGGGGUACCUUAUCAAAUGCCUUCAUGAAAUCCAUAUAUACUACAUCUAUUGCUCUUCCUUCAUCAAGGUGUUUAGCCACAUCCUCAAAAAAUUCAACCAGGCUCAUAUGGCACGACCUGCCCUUGGCAAAGCCAUGCUGACUAUUCCUAAUCAUAUUAUGUCUCUCCAAAUGUUCAUAAAUCCUGCCUCUCAGGAUCUUCUCCAUCAACGUACCAACCACUGAAGUAAGACUCACUGGGCUAUAAUUUCCUGGAUUAUCUCUCUUGAAUAAAGGAACAUUUGCAACCCUCCAAUCCUCAGGAAUCUCUCCUGUCCCCAUUGAUGAUGCAAAGAUCAUCGCCAGAGGCUCAGCAAUCUCCUCCCUCAGCUCCCACAGUAGCCUGGGGUACAUCUCAUCCAGUCCCAGCAACCUAUGCAACUUGAUGCUUUCCUAAAGCUCCAGCACACCCUCUUUCUUAAUAUCUACAUGCUCAAGCUUUUCAUGUCUGCUGCAAGUCAUCACUACAACCACCAAGAUCCUUUUCCAUAGUGAAUACUGAAGUAAAGUAUUCAUUAAGUGCCUCUGCUAUUUCCUCCAGUUCCACACUUUCACACUGUCACACUUGAUAGGUCCUAUUCUUUCACAUCUUAUCCUCUUGCUUUUCGCAUACUUGUAGAAAGCCUUUGGGUUUUCCUUAAUCCUGCCUACCAAGCCCACUCAUAGCCCCUUCUGGCUCUCCUAAUUUCCUUCUUUAGCUUCUUCCUGUUAGCCUUAUAAUCUUCCAGAUCUCUUACAGUACCUAGCACUCUGAACCUUUUCAUAAGCUUUUCUUUUCCUCUUGACUAGAUUUAUUACAGCCUUUGUACACCACGGUUUCUGUACUCUACCAUAACUUCCCUGUCUCAUUGGAAUGUACCUAUGCAGAACUCCACACAAAUAUCCCCUGAAUGUUUGCCACAUUUCUUCCGUACCUUUCCCUGAGAACAUCUGUUCCCAAUUUAAGGUUCGAAGCUCCUGCCUGAUAGCCUCAUAAUUGCUCUUGCUCCAAUUAAACGCUUUUUUAACUUGCCUGUUCCUAUCUCUCUCCAAUGCUAUUGUAAAGGAGAUAGAAUUAUGAUCACCAUCUCCAAAAUGCUCUUUCACUGAGAGAUCUGACACCUGACCACAUUCAUUUCCCAAUACAAAAUCAAAUUCAGCCUCUCCUCUUGUAGGCUUAUCUACGUAUUGUGUCAAGAAACCUACCUGAACACAACUAACAAACUCCACCCCUGGAUCAAUAAAAUUGAAUCUUGAAUCUUGUAAGCCUCACGCCAUUCACAAUGUGGUUCUCAUUGAGUAGCACAUCUUUCUCCAUGAUCCCUAUCAAAGAUAUUAUCCUCCCUUCCCAACUUCCCUGCACUUAAUGAACUUCUUUCCUCACCUUCCUAGUGCUGAAGAAUCCCUGACCUAAUCUCCCACAAAUGAGGGCAGACCCACUGAGAAUUUUUGACAUUUUCUGUUUUUAUUUCACAUUAGACAAAGUUCUUCCAUGUGCAUGCCAGCUGCGUGGAAGUCAAAUCAUGUUGUUCCAAGGAGCAGCUGUUGAUAGGCACCCAUGGUAUACCAUUGGCUCAUAGUCUUGACUGCUCUGGAAAGUGUGCAAUGAGCAAUUAACUGUGACUAAAAUGUUUGCUGACUUGCUGUGCAAUGAUCUGUAGCAUUAGUUUAAUGGUGCACAUGUAGGCCAAAAUUCUGUUGAGGUAACAUGGCCAAUUCAUGUUUGAUUUCUGUACAGAACAGUUCUGCUAACUUUGUGCAUCCAUGCAGACAACUGCAUGCUCAUAACAAGUGUUUGAUUAAGUGGCCCUUGACUGAGAUUAAUUAUGCCUCCACCCAGCCUUGGACUAACAUUUCCAGGGAAGUUUCUGCAGGUGCACUUGCACUAUCACAGCAGAAAUUGAGUUCAUCAGGAACUUCACAUCCAAAUGAGGAGACCCCUUUCCUCAAAUAUAAAAAAUUGGUGGUUUGAAGCAUUUUUGUAAAGGAGGCAUUAUGCACACAGAUUUGCUCACUAUAGAGGUGUUGACCUGUAAAGCCCACUGAACUGAAAGAUAACUGGCUUGUAUAAAAGUUUUGAUGGCCUCCAGUUGUGGGUGAAGAGGAACUACAGCUUUGCCGUAAACUCUAAAAUUCACAUUGGCCAGAGUUCUUGCUAAUCCUGGAAACUCUGUCGGACUUUGCAGCAGAGUUUCUCUGUGAAUGUGACGCAGUCAUAACAGGUAGGAUGACACAAAUGAAUGCAAUUGUUUGGGGUUUUUCAGUGAUGAUUUGUAAUAGUUACAUGAGCCCCAUGCUAAUAAAUUAGAUUUCAUCAACAAACCGAGAUGUAAGUAGAUGAACAGCAUAUGGCCAUAUGACGAAUACCCUCCUCCACAGAGCUCCUUACAAUGAUUUCUGCAAUCCUAUUUCAGUAGCAAAUAUGUAGGAUAACUUUGGUAUCAGUUUUCCUAUCAAUUGGAACGUUCCUAAAGAGAUUGUGGGAUCACAGAUAAGUAGGCUUCUUAUCUGAACAACCAAUGUCUUCCAUUCCAUUGACAGUUUGCCUUCAUGACCAUUAUUUAUUCUAUUCCCUUUGCUUUGGCUCUAAAUGAGAAUCACUCCCACUCUGAUUGGCAAGAACUGCUUUGAUAAUCAAAAUUUACUGAAAUUCUACCAACAAAAGUCUACCUUUUAUUGAAUGAUGCCAAAGAUAUGGGAAAAUGUUCACGUUUAUUCCACUCUGUUACAGCUUGUGAUCCUCUGGGCACAGAUCUCAUCCUCAAAAUGUUUCAUCCUUAAUUUCAGGAAACAUAUCUUUAUCAACUUCACCUACACUCAGCAAACCACUUUACUAGAAACACCUACUCAUUAACACAAAUACCUAAUCAACCAAUUAUGAGGCAGCAACUCAAUGCAUAAAUGCAUGAAAACAUGGUCAAGAGGUUCAGUAGUUGUUCAGACUAAACAUCAGAAUAGGAAAGGAAUGUGACCUAAGUGACUUAGACCGUGGAAUGACUGUUGGUGCCAGGCAAGAUGGUUUGAGUAUCUCAGAAACUGCUGAACUCUUGGGAUUUUCAUGAAUAACAGUCUCUGGUGUUCACAGAGAACAGUGCAAAAAAAAAACCAAAAGUAUAACGUCCAGUGUGUGGCAGUUCUGUGGCAAAAACACCUGGUUAAUGAGAGAGAUCAGAGGACAAUGGUCAAACUGGUUCGAGCUGACAGAAAGAUGAAGGUAACUCAAAUAAUCACACAUCACUACAGUGGUGUGGUGAAGAUUAUCUCUGAAAGCACAAUACCCUGAAGUGGACAGGCUACAGCAGCAGAAGACUACAAACAUACACUCAGUGGCCACUUUAUUAGGUAGAGGAGACAUCUAAUUAAAUGACCACUGAGUGUAUAAAUACAAGGUCAAAAAAGUAACUUUACCUUAAUGUCACUAGGUGUUCUACAAUAGGCUAAACAUUUGGGGAAGUAACCUCAAAAACAAAGCCUACACCUUGAAAACAAGCUUACUCACUCAUUCGUGUGUUCUAUUGACUUUCAAAUCUCACUGAUCUUCAAAAUGAAGAACAAAGCUGCAUAUUCUUUUCACUGUGACAUACAUAAAGGAUAGCCUUCAUGAGGCCAGACAGCUCAAAAAAUUUGUCUCAAUUCCCACUCAUCUGAUAUGAUGAUAUUCUCUUCACUUCCAUAAAUUCCUGAAUGAAGUAAACUGAAACAGUUCUCCCCAAAGUUUUCAGAUCUAUUAAUGGUUUAUACAUAUGAAUCAGUUACUCCACUUUAGGUAGCUUUUGACUGGUGAUUCGGCAGUGAGUCUCAGCAACAUGAUCUCCAGGAAUGUGUUGUAGUAUUACUUUAAUCAUGCCUCAGCACCACACAAGAGUUGGAAGACAGGAUGGGAAGAGGAUGGAGGCUCUGAGGACUCAAGAGAUGACAGGGGAGCCUGACAAACCCAGUGUUGGAGAGUGGUGGUGGAGAAAGGGGAGCCUGGGGGCCCACCAAUAGCGAAGAAGAUCUCAGCUUGGAGGUGAGAGCAGCCAGGGCCAUUAGAACCAGAGAUGCUGACAGUGAGGAACACCAUUGAAGAAGUGUGAUGGAUAUUUACUGUCCAAGGGGCCAGGGUGCUUUUCCUUUUUGCCAAACUCAGCUUUCUAAACACUAGCAGCAGACACUUCUAAAGAUUAAAGUGUUGUUUUUGAGUACAUUGAACUUCCAUCUCUGAUUUCUCCCCUUCCUUUCCAGCCAUGAUAAAGGCUUUCGGCCUGAAACGUCAACUGUUUACUCUUUUCAAUAGAUGCUGCCUGGCCUGCUGAUUUCCUACAGCAUUUUGUGUGUGUGUUGCUUCCAACUAAUAUUCUUUCUUUAGCUUCUAAUUGUAACCAGGAGUCUAUCUUCAGUUCUUAAUGUAACUGUCAAGCAGCUUUGCCUAAAGCACUAUCUAAAGAGCAGACUUGCUGACUCACAGCAUCUGGGCUUACUGCUCAUGAGGUGCUGUGUAAUACAAUGGGUUACCUUACUUUUGAAUGUUUCAAACAAAUAAUGCUGAUUGUUUAGUUGAAAGAAGCUUACAGUUUGAAGUUUUCACUUGGUAUAUGAAAUAAUUGGAAGGUUUGUAUACUUAAGAGAAUCAGCUUCACAGCAGUAUUUGUGGGCACCUGGGUUUUCUGACUCCAGAAGCUUUUAGGCCACUUGUGUUAAAGGGAAUCUGAAAAAAAUAUCAUCGGUGUAUAAAGUCACCUGCAGCAGAGAAGCAGUAUAAAUGUAGAGAGCAGAUCAGACUUAGCAGGAAUGGUCCAGAAACAUCACGAAGAAUGACAGAAUCAGAGGAUGAAUUAGAUUCCGUUCAUCUGCUUUUGAUGUCUUUGGUGGAUGACUGGUUUGUUAGUGGCUAAUGGUAUGGCAUUUUGAUUAUAGAAAUUGUACCUGUGUUUUGGAAUUCCUUUGUUUUUUAGAAACGGUUUGUAAUUUGGAAAUGUUUUAUGAGAUAGAAAUCCUCUAUGAGUUUUAAGUGUGCUUUAAGAAUGUUGUUUGAAUUUAAACAUGUAUCACUGAAAAUAAAUUACCUG
Hypanus sabinus (Atlantic stingray) is the source of this 6964-nucleotide long non-coding RNA. RefSeq lists it as uncharacterized. The record is from RefSeq and is a predicted model, not a curated record. NCBI's taxonomy places the organism in Eukaryota, Metazoa, Chordata, Chondrichthyes, Myliobatiformes, Dasyatidae. The transcript has 4 exons.